AGCUUUUGCCAUGCUUGUAAGUGGGUGACCCUGCACCUGUCUGCUGCUAAUGGUGCUCAGCUGACAUUUGCUGAAUGAAUGAAGGAGCCAUCACACCAGUGCCAAAGGUCACAGCCUGCCCGCCCACAAAGAACAGAAUUGGAAAGAAGAGUGGCAUGGCAGACUGUAACCUCAGAUCCAGCUGAUUCUAGCAACUGCUCACCAAGCUAUUCCAAGAUGACCAUGUUCUCAAAGAUCACAGCUAGGAAGUUGCCCCCAGAAAAAUCCCUC
This is a long non-coding RNA of Mesoplodon densirostris (Blainville's beaked whale), 270 nucleotides long. RefSeq lists it as uncharacterized. The record is from RefSeq and is a predicted model, not a curated record. NCBI's taxonomy places the organism in Eukaryota, Metazoa, Chordata, Mammalia, Artiodactyla, Ziphiidae. The transcript has 3 exons.